Cotesia glomerata is the source of this 912-nucleotide long non-coding RNA. RefSeq lists it as uncharacterized. The transcript is spliced from 2 exons. NCBI's taxonomy places the organism in Eukaryota, Metazoa, Arthropoda, Insecta, Hymenoptera, Braconidae. The record is from RefSeq and is a predicted model, not a curated record.
AUUAUUAUUAUUACUUCAUUUAUUCUGUAGUAUGUGUACGACUUCGUACAUGUGCCAUUCUACAAGCGUGUAUUACGUAUAAAAUUUGAAUUUCCCGGGAUUUGUAACACUCCGUAUAUAUACGGUGCUGUUUGUGUACGGAGUCGUAUCGUUUGCUUGCUGUACCUUAGCCACAUCGUUAGUUUAUUAUAUAGAAUUAUAUACAACAAUACUUUCUCGAAGUGAUCUCAAAGUAAAUAAAUAAAAGGAUAACUGCAAGCAAUUUACCUUAGUUUAUUAACAUGUGUGUGAGCACCUUUAAGAUUGGAGUUUACUUUUUUACGGUACUAACUUAAAUCUCGCGUUGGCUGCAUUUUUUACCGCAAACUAUCCCCUUGAAGCUACAGUUUAUGUAGAUACAGUCGGCGACAUGUAUUUCUCCCGUACACGAUAACAAAUGUCCACGAAAAUAUCUCUAUGUAAAGAACUCUAUGUAAGAUAUUUCUAUGGAAUAUCUUUUCUAGCGGAAAAUUUUUAUGGGAAAAAAUUUGUCUAUUUGACAAUAAUUAUAUGCAAAAAUAAGUCUAUGUGCAAAUAAAUCUAUUCGAAAUCAAGUCCGUGAAAAAAUAUUUCAAUUUUAAAAUAAAUCCAUGCGUCAACAUCUCUAUGUAAAAUAAGUAUAUGUAAAUUUACAAAUUUACUAUAGUAUCUGUCAUAAAGUUGCAUGCACUGCAUUAACUGUGAGAUUCACAAAAAGGAUGAAAAAAUAAAAAUUAAUUUUAGAAUCCCAAUUACCACAUUAGAAAUGAGUUUUUCUAUUUUUAAUUCCGUAUCCAGAUUAAUGCAGAGCAAGCGGGUAACAGCUGGGAUAUAUACAUAUAGAUUUAAUGGGAAGGUAAAACUGUACAUGUAGAAAUAAAUAGUAAAAAUUUA